Molecule: non-coding RNA, 773 nt
Organism: Pelobates cultripes (western spadefoot toad)
Lineage: Eukaryota; Metazoa; Chordata; Amphibia; Anura; Pelobatidae
Source: the annotation of a GenBank genome assembly
UGUAUAGACUCAGCAGUCUGUGUGUUUGUGUAUGGACUCAGAGUGUGUGUGUGUGUGUGUGUGUGUGUGGACUCAGCAGUCUUUGUGUGUGUGUAUGGACUCAACAGUCUGUGUGUGUGGACUCAGCUUGGUCUGUGUGUGUGUGUGUGUGUGUGUGUGGUUCAGCAGUUUGUGUGUGUGGACUCAGCAGUUUGUGUGUGUAUGGACUCAGCAGUCUGUGUGUGUAUGGACUCAGCAGAGUCUGUGUGUGUGUACGUGUACGGACUCAGCAGUCUGUGUGUGUGUGUGUGUGUCUGUAUGGACUCAGCAAUCUGUGUGUUUGUGUAUGGACUCAGCAGAGUGUGUGUGUGUGGACUCAGCAGUCUUUGUGUGUGUAUGGACUCAGCAGUCUGUGUGUGUAUGGACUCAGCAGAGUCUGUGUGUGUGUGUAUGGACUCAGCAGAGUCUGUGUGUGUUUGUGUGUAUGGACUCAGCAGAGUGUGUGUGUUUGUGUGUGUGUAUGGACUCAGCAGUCUGUGUGUGUGUAUGGACUCAGCAGUAUGUGUGUGUUUGUGUGUAUGGACUCAGCAGAGUGUGUGUGUUUGUGUGUAUGGACUCAGCAGAGUCUGUGUGUGUGUAUGGACUCAGCAGUCUGUGUGUGUACGGACUCAGCAGAGUCUGUGUGUGUGUAUGGACUCAGCAGUCUGUGUGUGUACGGACUCAGCAGAGUCUGUGUGUGUGUAUGGACUCAGCAGUCUGUGUGUGUGUGUAUGGACUCAGCAGUCUGUGUGUGU